GGUGCUUGAUUGGAACUCACAAGGAAAGCGAAGGCGUGGCCGUCCCAAACAAACCUGGCGCCGUACAGUAGCGGACGAGGUAAAGAGAGCUGGUAGGACUUGGAGCGAGGUGAAGCACGAGGCGCAAGACCGAACGGGAUGGAGGCUCGCUGUGGACGCCCUCUGCCCCACCUAGGGGUUAUAGGACAUAAAGAAAGAAGAAGACGAUCACUGGACCAUGAUAGCGGGUAUGCAGAAAAGCGGCCUUCUCUACGCUGGACGACAACAGAUCAAAAUCCUAAGAGCAGUUGGAAAAGCAGCAUGGUACAACGAAGACCAACAACGAAGUUCACGAACACCUAAAAAUGAAAACUAUCAAAGAGGAAAUCCGGAGACUGGCAGUUUUUUGCUAAGUUUUGCCUGAAAAAAUGCAGAUCACAUGAAAGAAGACUUACCGGUAAAGGCCUGAUAGGUGUGCUGAAACCGGACCGCCUCCCAAAUGGCUCUGCGC
Pieris rapae (cabbage white) is the source of this 490-nucleotide long non-coding RNA. RefSeq lists it as uncharacterized. The record is from RefSeq and is a predicted model, not a curated record. Lineage: Eukaryota; Metazoa; Arthropoda; Insecta; Lepidoptera; Pieridae. The transcript is spliced from 4 exons.